RNAcentral lists this transfer RNA (86 nucleotides) under candidate division Zixibacteria bacterium RBG_16_43_9. RNAcentral describes it as "tRNA-Leu". It matches the Rfam family "tRNA". From Rfam's summary of the family: Transfer RNA (tRNA) molecules are approximately 80 nucleotides in length. Their secondary structure includes four short double-helical elements and three loops (D, anti-codon, and T loops). Lineage: Bacteria; Pseudomonadati; Candidatus Zixiibacteriota. The record is from RNAcentral. RNAcentral also lists the same sequence under 1 other name.
GCCGGAGUGGCGGAAUAGGUAGACGCAAGGGACUUAAAAUCCCUCGGUGAUUACUCACCGUCCCGGUUCAAUUCCGGGCUCCGGCA